This 1105-nucleotide ribosomal RNA is filed under the name uncultured bacterium. RNAcentral describes it as "bacterial SSU rRNA". It matches the Rfam family "Bacterial small subunit ribosomal RNA", at positions 99 to 1239 of the family's 1533-position model. The record is from RNAcentral.
CGGACGGGUGAGUAACGCGUGAGAAUCUGCCCUCAGGAGGGGGAUAACGGCUGGAAACGGCCGCUAAUACCCCAUAUGCCGAGAGGUGAAAUGAAUUUCGCCUGAGGAUGAGCUCGCGUCUGAUUAGCUAGUUGGUGGGGUAAAGGCCUACCAAGGCAUCGAUCAGUAGCUGGUCUGAGAGGAUGAUCAGCCACACUGGGACUGGGACACGGCCCAGACUCCUACGGGAGGCAGCAGUGGGGAAUUUUCCGCAAUGGGCGAAAGCCUGACGGAGCAACGCCGCGUGAGGGAUGAAGGCCUCUGGGCUGUAAACCUCUUUUAUCAAGGAAGAAGAUCUGACGGUACUUGAUGAAUAAGCCACGGCUAAUUCCGUGCCAGCAGCCGCGGUAAUACGGGAGUGGCAAGCGUUAUCCGGAAUUAUUGGGCGUAAAGCGUCCGCAGGCGGUCUUUUAAGUCUGUCGUCAAAGCGUGGAGCUUAACUCCAUUACUGCGAUGGAAACUGGAAGACUAGAGUGUGGUAGGGGCAGAGGGAAUUCCCGGUGUAGCGGUGAAAUGCGUAGAUAUCGGGAAGAACACCAGUGGCGAAGGCGCUCUGCUGGGCCAUAACUGACGCUCAUGGACGAAAGCCAGGGGAGCGAAAGGGAUUAGAUACCCCUGUAGUCCUGGCCGUAAACGAUGAACACUAGGUGUCGGGGGAAUCGACCCCCUCGGUGUCGUAGCCAACGCGUUAAGUGUUCCGCCUGGGGAGUACGCACGCAAGUGUGAAACUCAAAGGAAUUGACGGGGGCCCGCACAAGCGGUGGAGUAUGUGGUUUAAUUCGAUGCAACGCGAAGAACCUUACCAGGGUUUGACAUCCUGCGAAUCCCUUGGAAACGAGGGAGUGCCUUCGGGAGCGCAGUGACAGGUGGUGCAUGGCUGUCGUCAGCUCGUGUCGUGAGAUGUGGGGUUAAGUCCCGCAACGAGCGCAACCCACGUCGUUAGUUGCCAGCAUUUAGUUGGGCACUCUAGCGAGACCGCCGGUGAUAAACCGGAGGAAGGUGUGGAUGACGUCAAGUCAUCAUGCCCCUUACAUCCUGGGCUACACACGUACUACAAUGCUACGGA